This 230-nucleotide unclassified non-coding RNA is filed under the name plant metagenome. Its description in RNAcentral is "partial contains small subunit ribosomal RNA, internal transcribed spacer 1, and 5.8S ribosomal RNA". The stretch from base 1 to 50 matches the Rfam family "Eukaryotic small subunit ribosomal RNA", at positions 1782 to 1831 of the family's 1831-position model. The record is from RNAcentral.
GGAAAAGUCGUAACAAGGUCUCCGUUGGUGAACCAGCGGAGGGAUCAUUACAGGAUCGAAAGACUCCUAUAACCCCUGUGAACUUACUACAAAUACGUUGCUUCGGCGGGUGCCCCGGGUCUCCCGGGGCGUUCAGCCCGCCGGCAGCCUUCAAAUUCUGUUUCUUUGCGUUGGCAUCUCGAGUAUACAAAAAUAAGUUAAAACUUUCAACAACGGAUCUCUUGGUUCUG